CCUACGGGUGGCAGCAGUAGGGAAUAUUGCUCAAUGGGGGAAACCCUGAAGCAGCAACGCCGCGUGGAGGAUGACGGUCCUCGGAUUGUUAACCCUCUUUGUUAGAGAAGAUAAUGACGGUAUGUAACGAAUAAGCACCGGCUAACUCCGUGCCAGCAGCCGCGGUAAUACGGCGGGUGCAAGCGUUACUCGGAAUCACUGGGCGUAAAGAGGGCGUAGGCGGGUUAGCAAGGCAGGUGGGAAAUCCUAGGGGUUAACCAUAGAACUGCAUUUGAAACUGUUAUUCUAGAGUGUGGGAGAGGUAGGUGGAAUUCUUGGUGUAGGGGUGAAAUCCAUAGAGAUCAAGAAGAAUUCUCAUUGCGAAGGCAGCCUACUAGAACAUAACUGACGCUGAUGCACGAAAGCGUGGGGAGCAAACAGGAUUAGAUACCCCGGUAGUC
This 440-nucleotide ribosomal RNA is filed under the name uncultured bacterium. RNAcentral describes it as "partial 16S ribosomal RNA". It matches the Rfam family "Bacterial small subunit ribosomal RNA", at positions 338 to 795 of the family's 1533-position model. The record is from RNAcentral.